GACGAACGCUGGCGGCGUGCCUAAUACAUGCAAGUAGAACGCACAGUAUAUACCGUAGCUUGCUACACCAUAGACUGUGAGUUGCGAACGGGUGAGUAACGCGUAGGUAACCUGCCUGGUAGCGGGGGAUAACUAUUGGAAACGAUAGCUAAUACCGCAUAAUAUUAAUUAUUGCAUGAUAAUUGAUUGAAAGAUGCAACUGCAUCACUACCAGAUGGACCUGCGUUGUAUUAGCUAGUAGGUGAGGUAACGGCUCACCUAGGCGACGAUACAUAGCCGACCUGAGAGGGUGAUCGGCCACACUGGGACUGAGACACGGCCCAGACUCCUACGGGAGGCAGCAGUAGGGAAUCUUCGGCAAUGGACGAAAGUCUGACCGAGCAACGCCGCGUGAGUGAAGAAGGUUUUCGGAUCGUAAAGCUCUGUUGUAAGAGAAGAACGGGUGUGAGAGUGGAAAGUUCACAACUGGGACGGAU
Molecule: ribosomal RNA, 476 nt
Filed under: Streptococcus gordonii
Lineage: Bacteria; Bacillati; Bacillota; Bacilli; Lactobacillales; Streptococcaceae
Description: bacterial SSU rRNA
Rfam family: Bacterial small subunit ribosomal RNA
Source: RNAcentral